GACCCCGUGAACCUUUACUAUAGCUUGACACUGAACAUUGAGCCUUGAUGUGUAGGAUAGGUGGGAGGCUUUGAAGUGUGGACGCCAGUCUGCAUGGAGCCGACCUUGAAAUACCACCCUUUAAUGUUUGAUGUUCUAACGUGGACCCGUGAUCCGGGUUGCGGACAGUGUCUGGUGGGUAGUUUGACUGGGGCGGUCUCCUCCUAAAGAGUAACGGAGGAGCACGAAGGUUGGCUAAUCCUGGUCGGACAUCAGGAGGUUAGUGCAAUGGCAUAAGCCAGCUUGACUGCGAGCGUGACGGCGCGAGCAGGUGCGAAAGCAGGUCAUAGUGAUCCGGUGGUUCUGAAUGGAAGGGCCAUCGCUCAACGGAUAAAAGGUACUCCGGGGAUAACAGGCUGAUACCGCCCAAGAGUUCAUAUCGACGGCGGUGUUUGGCACCUCGAUGUCGGCUCAUCACAUCCUGGGGCUGAAGUAGGUCCCAAGGGUAUGGCUGUUCGCCAUUUAAAGUGGUACGCGAGCUGGGUUUAGAACGUCGUGAGACAGUUCGGUCCCUAUCUGCCGUGGGCGCUGGAGAACUGAGGGGGGCUGCUCCUAGUACGAGAGGACCGGAGUGGACGCAUCACUGGUGUUCGGGUUGUCAUGCCAAUGGCACUGCCCGGUAGCUAAAUGCGGAAGAGAUAAGUGCUGAAAGCAUCUAAGCACGAAACUUGCCCCGAGAUGAGU
Molecule: ribosomal RNA, 723 nt
Filed under: Salmonella enterica subsp. enterica serovar Infantis
Lineage: Bacteria; Pseudomonadati; Pseudomonadota; Gammaproteobacteria; Enterobacterales; Enterobacteriaceae
Description: partial 23S ribosomal RNA
Rfam family: Bacterial large subunit ribosomal RNA
Source: RNAcentral